This 968-nucleotide unclassified non-coding RNA is filed under the name Hevea brasiliensis (rubber tree). Lineage: Eukaryota; Viridiplantae; Streptophyta; Magnoliopsida; Malpighiales; Euphorbiaceae. The record is from RNAcentral.
UUGUAAUGCUUAUCCUGCAAACUUUACUGAAACAAAUACAGAGAGAUCCAGAGUAUGUGAAAGCUGUUAAAACUCAUAUAUAUACAUACGCGAUACAUACAAGACUUAAACACUGAAAGGAAAAUCCAUUAUAACUGCUUCAAAGUUUAUGAAGUUUAUUCUCUGUUUAGUAUAAUACUCAAUCUUGGGCUUCAGCAGCUUUGAAUAGAUCUCGCCACUUCCGAGGAUCACUGCCAGGGCCAUCACCCUGCAUAAGUACAAAUCUUAGUUCAGCAAAAUGCGGCAGUUUUCAAAUGAUGAACUUCAUGAUAAUUAUUUAAAACUUGAAAUGGAACAUAUAUAGAACUAAUGCAGGCAGGGGAAAAAUCAAUUGCUGGAAAACUCACACACAGCAAACGGCAAAAAUUACAUGUCUCCAGCCAAUUGUUACAUCUGUCAUAGAUGACAUUAAAAACCUAGGUGUUUCAGUCCCAAAAACACAUUCUACACUUGUUGCGGAGUUGCAGUUUUAUUUUUUUUUUCACAGUACACUACUUAAUAAAUAGAUGAAAACCCACCAUGGGUUUGACUACUGAAGUAAAAAAUUUAUUAAAAAAAUAUAUGUGAUGAUUACAUUUUUCUGAAUGGAAAAAAAAUUUUACAGGCAUCUAUAGGGGUGAGAACUGUUCGGUUUGAAUUGAAUAAACCGUAUCGAACCGCUUUAAUUAGGUAAUUCGAUUUGGUUCGGUUCGGUUUUGCAUUUUAAGAAUUUUAGUUAUUUUGAUUUGAUUCAGUUUUGAAGAGGAAAACGGUUGAACCGAACCGAACCAAAUUACUUUAUUAAUUUUUAAAUUGAUUUAUUUUUAUGGAAAAUUUAUGAAUUAUAUUUAAUUAUAUAUAUAUAUUAAUUGUUUAAUUUCGUUGAUUAAUGGUUAUUUGGUUCAAACCAAAGUCAAAAUUAGGCUAAAUAACUUGAAAAUUAAGUCUAA